UACAGAGGGUGCAAGCGUUGUUCGGAAUUAUUGGGCGUAAAGGGCGCGUAGGCGGUGCCACAAGUCACCUGUGAAAUCUCCGGGCUUAACUCGGAGCCUGCAGGCGAAACUGUGGUGCUGGAGUGUGGGAGAGGUGCGUGGAAUUCCCGGUGUAGCGGUGAAAUGCGUAGAUAUCAGGAGGAACACCGGUGGUGUAAACGGCUUUCUGGACCAUAACUGACGCUGAGGCACGAAAGCGUGGGUAGCAAACAGG
Molecule: ribosomal RNA, 253 nt
Filed under: uncultured bacterium
Lineage: Bacteria
Description: partial 16S ribosomal RNA
Rfam family: Bacterial small subunit ribosomal RNA
Source: RNAcentral